RNAcentral lists this ribosomal RNA (497 nucleotides) under uncultured bacterium. Its description in RNAcentral is "partial 16S ribosomal RNA". It matches the Rfam family "Bacterial small subunit ribosomal RNA", at positions 28 to 507 of the family's 1533-position model. The record is from RNAcentral.
GAUGAACGCUGGCGGCGUGCCUAAUACAUGCAAGUCGAGCGAACGGACGAGAAGCUUGCUUCUCUGAUGUUAGCGGCGGACGGGUGAGUAACACGUGGAUAACCUACCUAUAAGACUGGGAUAACUUCGGGAAACCGGAGCUUAUACCGGAUAAUAUUUUGAACCGCAUGGUUCAAAAGUGAAAGACGGUCUUGCUGUCACUUAUCGAUGGAUCCGCGCUGCAUUAGCUAGUUGGUAAGGUAACGGCUUACCAAGGCAACGAUGCAUAGCCGACCUGAGAGGGUGAUCGGCCACACGGGAACUGAGACACGGUCCAGACUCCUACGGGAGGCAGCAGUAGGGAAUCUUCCGCAAUGGGCGAAAGCCUGACGGAGCAACGCCGCGUGAGUGAUGAAGGUCUUCGGAUCGUAAAACUCUGUUAUUAGGGAAGAACAGAUGUGUAAGUAACUGUGCACAUCUUGACGGUACCUAAUCAGAAAGCCACGGCUAACUACGUG